ACAGAGAACAGACAAAUUUAAGGGAAGCUCAGGCAAGGUGUGAUAUAGAAGCCAAACAGAAGUUCAUGCAAUGGUGGACAGUACUAGUGACUAGAGAGGUCUGUAACCAAGCUGCAUGCUCACUUUUGCAGUGUCUGGUGUUGGCUCCCUGUCACUCAGAUGGUGAAUGCUCUUUCCCACCGUGAUGAAAUCACCGUAAAGGUCAAAGGCCAGGAGGUCUUUGGCGUAUCGGCACCACAUCUUGGCGUACUGCAGCGCCGUCUCCACUCCAUCCUCGCAGCGACAGAGGGCCAGG
This is a long non-coding RNA of Thunnus maccoyii (southern bluefin tuna), 295 nucleotides long. RefSeq lists it as uncharacterized. The record is from RefSeq and is a predicted model, not a curated record. The transcript has 3 exons. Lineage: Eukaryota; Metazoa; Chordata; Actinopteri; Scombriformes; Scombridae.